Molecule: unclassified non-coding RNA, 343 nt
Filed under: soil metagenome
Description: partial contains 5.8S ribosomal RNA, internal transcribed spacer 2, and large subunit ribosomal RNA
Rfam family: 5.8S ribosomal RNA (bases 1-120)
Source: RNAcentral
GAUGAAGAACGUAGCGAAAUGCGAUAAGUAGUGUGAAUUGCAGAAUUCAGUGAAUCAUCGAAUCUUUGAACGCACAUUGCGCCUUCUGGUAUUCCGGGAGGCAUGCCUGUUCGAGCGUCAUUUCAACCCUCGACCUCCCCUUGGGGAGGUCGGCGUUGGGGACCGGCAGCACACCGCCGGCCCUGAAAUGGAGUGGCGGCCCGUCUGCGGCGACCUCUGCGUAGUAAUACAGCUCGCACCGGAACCCCGACGCGGCCACGCCGUAAAACACCCAACUUCUGAACGUUGACCUCGAAUCAGGUAGGACUACCCGCUGAACUUAAGCAUAUCAAUAAGCGGAGGA